AACGAACGCUGGGGCAGGCUUAACACAUGCAAGUCGAGCGCCCCGCAAGGGGAGCGGCAGACGGGUGAGUAACACGUGGGAACCUUCCUAGAGGUACGGAACAACUCAGGGAAACUUAAGCUAAUACCGUAUACGCUCUUGCGAGGAAAGAUUUAUCGCCUUUAGACGGGCCCGCGUCGGAUUAGCUAGUUGGUGGGGUAACGGCCUACCAAGGCGACGAUCCGUAGCUGAUCUGAGAGGAUGAUCAGCCACACUGGGACUGAAACCCGGCCCAGACUCCUACGGGAGGCAGCAGUGGGGAAUCUUGGACAAUGGGCGCAAGCCUGAUCCAGCCAUGCCGCGUGAGUGAAGAAGGCCUUCGGGUUGUAAAGCCCCUUUGCCAGGGACGAUAAUGACGGUACCUGGAGAAUAAGCCUCGGCAAACUUCGUGCCAUCCGCCGCAGUAA
This 446-nucleotide ribosomal RNA is filed under the name uncultured bacterium. Its description in RNAcentral is "partial 16S ribosomal RNA". It matches the Rfam family "Bacterial small subunit ribosomal RNA", at positions 29 to 523 of the family's 1533-position model. The record is from RNAcentral.